AGAGUUGUGGCGGAAUGGUAGACGCACGCCCUAACUGUGAGGAGUUAAUCUAUAUGGUUGCUUACGGGAACGGCGAUACUGAAAGACGUAUGUAGGUUCAAGUCCUACCAACUCUA
This 116-nucleotide transfer RNA is filed under the name Bacteroidales bacterium. Its description in RNAcentral is "tRNA-OTHER". It matches the Rfam family "tRNA". Rfam says of the family: Transfer RNA (tRNA) molecules are approximately 80 nucleotides in length. Their secondary structure includes four short double-helical elements and three loops (D, anti-codon, and T loops). Further hydrogen bonds mediate the characteristic L-shaped molecular structure. tRNAs have two regions of fundamental functional importance: the anti-codon, which is responsible for specific mRNA codon recognition, and the 3' end, to which the tRNAs corresponding amino acid is attached (by aminoacyl-tRNA synthetases). tRNAs cope with the degeneracy of the genetic code in two manners: having more than one tRNA (with a specific anti-codon) for a particular amino acid; and 'wobble' base-pairing, i.e. permitting non-standard base-pairing at the 3rd anti-codon position. Lineage: Bacteria; Pseudomonadati; Bacteroidota; Bacteroidia; Bacteroidales. The record is from RNAcentral.